GUUCUCACUUUGGCAGCACAUAUGCUAAAAUUGAAAUAAUACAGAGAUUAGCAUGGUCCCUGUGCAAGGAUGACACACAAAUUCAUAAAAAGUGGAAUGGGGGA
Small nuclear RNA from Fukomys damarensis (Damara mole-rat), 104 nucleotides. NCBI's taxonomy places the organism in Eukaryota, Metazoa, Chordata, Mammalia, Rodentia, Bathyergidae. The record is from Ensembl.